RNAcentral lists this ribosomal RNA (478 nucleotides) under uncultured bacterium. RNAcentral describes it as "partial 16S ribosomal RNA". It matches the Rfam family "Bacterial small subunit ribosomal RNA", at positions 28 to 523 of the family's 1533-position model. The record is from RNAcentral.
GACGAACGCUGGCGGCGUGCUUAUCACAUGCAAGUCGAACGGUAAGGCCCUUCGGGGUACACGAGUGGCGAACGGGUGAGUAACACGUGGGUGAUCUGCCCUGCACUUCGGGAUAAGCCUGGGAAACUGGGUCUAAUACCGGAUAGGACAACUGCCUGCAUGGGUGGUGGUGGAAAGCUUUUGCGGUGUGGGAUGGGCCCGCGGCCUAUCAGCUUGUUGGUGGGGUGAUGGCCUACCAAGGCGACGACGGGUAGCCGGCCUGAGAGGGUGACCGGCCACACUGGGACUGAGAUACGGCCCAGACUCCUACGGGAGGCAGCAGUGGGGAAUAUUGCACAAUGGGCGCAAGCCUGAUGCAGCGACGCCGCGUGAGGGAUGACGGCCUUCGGGUUGUAAACCUCUUUCAGCACCGACGAAGCGCAAGUGACGGUAGGUGCAGAAGAAGGACCGGCCAACUACGUGCCAGCAGCCGCCGCCG